CCUACGGGUGACAGCAGUGGGGAAUAUUGCUCAAUGGGGGAAACCCUGAAGCAGCAACGCCGCGUGGAGGAUGAAGGUUUUCGGAUUGUAAACUCCUUUUGUUAGAGAAGAUAAUGACGGUAUCUAACGAAUAAGCACCGGCUAACUCCGUGCCAGCAGCCGCGGUAAUACGGAGGGUGCAAGCGUUACUCGGAAUUACUGGGCGUAAAGAGAGCGUAGGCGGGAUAGCAAGUCAGAUGUGAAAUCCUAUGGCUUAACCAUAGAACUGCAUUUGAAACUGUUAUUCUAGAGUGUGGGAGAGGUAGGUGGAAUUCUUGGUGUAGCGGUAAAAUCCGUAGAGAUCAAGAGGAAUACUCAUUGCGAAGGCGACCUGCUAGAACAUAACUGACGCUGAUGCGCGAAAGCGUGGGGAGCAAACAGGAUUAGAUACCCCGGUAGUC
This 440-nucleotide ribosomal RNA is filed under the name uncultured bacterium. RNAcentral describes it as "partial 16S ribosomal RNA". It matches the Rfam family "Bacterial small subunit ribosomal RNA", at positions 338 to 795 of the family's 1533-position model. The record is from RNAcentral.